GAGAGAGGCCUUGAAGCAAAAGAAACUGCUAAUUUUUUUCACCGUGGCUAAACUCCACGGCUCACUCG
Molecule: transfer RNA, 68 nt
Filed under: Bario sanctaefilomenae (redeye tetra)
Lineage: Eukaryota; Metazoa; Chordata; Actinopteri; Characiformes; Acestrorhamphidae
Description: Moenkhausia sanctaefilomenae (redeye tetra) tRNA-Ser
Source: RNAcentral